Molecule: ribosomal RNA, 117 nt
Filed under: Pteropus alecto (black flying fox)
Lineage: Eukaryota; Metazoa; Chordata; Mammalia; Chiroptera; Pteropodidae
Source: RNAcentral
GUCCGCAGCCAUGCCACCCUGAACAAGCCUGAUGUCUGAUCUCGUGAAGCUAAGCAGGGUCAGGCCUGGUUAGUACUUAGAUGGGAGACCACCUAGGAAGACUAGGUGCUAUAGACA